Mycena leptocephala is the source of this 88-nucleotide non-coding RNA. NCBI's taxonomy places the organism in Eukaryota, Fungi, Basidiomycota, Agaricomycetes, Agaricales, Mycenaceae. The record is from the annotation of a GenBank genome assembly.
GCGUCCUUGGUGUAGCGGUAACACACAAUCUACUUCUUUGCGUGAUAAAUAUGUGAGGUUGGGUCCGGGUUCGACUCCCGAGGGCGCA